Molecule: long non-coding RNA, 1471 nt
Organism: Scylla paramamosain (green mud crab)
Lineage: Eukaryota; Metazoa; Arthropoda; Malacostraca; Decapoda; Portunidae
Exons: 4
Source: RefSeq, a predicted model, not a curated record
CAGCACAAACCCUCGCCCUCAGUCAGCCAAGGCUCAGCGGAGGUGAGGGAGGGAAGCAGUGAGAUAUUGACAGGAACCGACUCGGCUCCACUGAAGGUGUUGGAGGGGCGUGGCGAGAAGCCGGGGAGCGGAAAACCAAAUCCUCGUUAUCAAUAGCUAAGGGCCAGCGUAGAUGAAAGGACGUGACGUGACGUGAAGGCAGAAAGGAUGUGUGGCUGUGGCUGCAUUGAUUGGAGGUGACAAGCGGUUGGUGCGUACUGGUUCUUCCCAGUGGCUUCCCAGACUAACUCGGGUGUAGCUUGGUGACAGACGCAGUUCAAGAUUUCGGUAAAGACGUGCAGGAAAUCACAAGUUUGUUCAUGUUCCGGAUUUUUGUGUGGAACGGGGUGGAAGUGGCGCGUCUCAGGAAUAUAGUGAGAUGGAAGUGGUGGUCUCUGGAGCACGGCAGCUCGUCAGGAGGAUUGUUCCUGUUGUCUUGGGUGCGUUGUCUCGAUUGUUCUGUCAUCGUUCUGUCACCGUUCCGCUGAUCAUCCUCCUUGUCUGUAACCGGCGACCCUCUGUUCCCUGGCGCGGAUGGGUUGCUUCCUGAACGUGUAAAUUAUAAGACUCGUGGGCUGGCAGUGUUGCUGGUUAAUGAGCGAAUUUGUUCAUAAGAGUUCGAGAGACUCUCUCAAUUUUAGUUUUAUUUAUUUUUUUUUUUCUCUCUCUCUCUCUCUCUCCCCGUACGGUGACUUGCUGUUUCUCGGGAGACUUUUUGAGGUAUGAAUAAAAACAACUUUGCCUAGGUAUGAAUAAAAUAGAACUAUAGAGCAGAAUAAACAGCCAGCACACACACACAACCACCUACUCCGAAAACUUGGCCAGCACUGGGGUGACGCGGCUACCAAGGUUUCACUUACUGAGAUUCGGGACAGUUCGACACGCUUGCAGCUUCCCCACAGAUUCUUCACACAUUACAUUCAACCCUGCCGCUUCCGACAGAUAGCCCAGGCACACGUGUAUCUGCUUAUUUGCUCAGUUUAAUAAGUGACGAGUCUCAUAAUGCUUCAUUCCGUUACCUCUCACCACCAGUUUUCCGCUGUUGAACUCCUUAUUCUAAAUUAACUGAACAAAAUAACGCAUAUUAGGAUAAAGUAAACUAAAAACGAUCAAACCAGGAGUGUUAAUGGUUUAUACAGACUGUAAUGCUUGUAUUAAGUUAAGGACAAAAGUAUACAAUAUACGAAUGACCGACAAGUUUGAUAAAGUUAUGGUAUAGAGUACAUUAAAACAAAUAAAAAAUCAGUUUCAUGUAUACGGUAAUGUUGAUGUAGUUUGGGCAAAGACAAAAUGCACAAGAUAAAUGUUAGGCUGAUGAGUCUUAAGCCUUAAGGCAGUGCUUGGAGUAUUACAAACUGUGAUUAAUAAUAUUGUAAGUAAUAGAGAUAACAGUGGUACAGUAUGUUUAUGUCCAGAGAGAGAGAGAGAGAGA